This 275-nucleotide unclassified non-coding RNA is filed under the name Hevea brasiliensis (rubber tree). Lineage: Eukaryota; Viridiplantae; Streptophyta; Magnoliopsida; Malpighiales; Euphorbiaceae. The record is from RNAcentral.
GGCUUGGAAUUCUUCACAGAAGACUGUCGAGCAUCGCCUCGAUGUCGGCAUAAAGAUCAGUUGCUGACAACAAAUUUCCAAACUUGUGCGGAUGUCGUUCUGGGCGGCGGCAUCAACCGACGGCUCGGUGAAGAGAACACCGGGGCCACAAUAAUCAUCCCCCCGGGGCCGGCACGAAACUAAAUUCGGCCGGCCUCCCCUUAGGCAGACGAUCAGCCACACACCUGAACAGGCCGGAUGCGCCAACCAACCGGAGUCAGCACGCGCUGCCGGAC